Molecule: long non-coding RNA, 2736 nt
Filed under: Homo sapiens (human)
Lineage: Eukaryota; Metazoa; Chordata; Mammalia; Primates; Hominidae
Description: HSALNT0403672
Source: RNAcentral
GCUGGUGCAGGGCCGAGCAACAGCAAUAGAAGAUGCAAAAAUGACAAAGAUAAUGUGGUCCUAGCACAUUUAGGGAUGGAUUGCACUAGAUUGCCCUAGAGAAUAGAGGCACAGGGAACUGAUACAAGGCUAAUAGAAAAGCAUGUGCAAGGCAAGUCUAAGAGCAGCAGCAUUUGAAAGAGAGUAACAGACUAAGAGGGAUGGGAAAGACAUAAUGGGAGGUAGACUCCACAGGGCUUCAGAUGGAUUGCAUGUGUGAUUGAGGCAAGGAAGAGGAAGAGAAAGAACAUUUAAUGACCUCCUUCAGUGCCAGACUAUACUAGGUGCUUUGUAUAGGCUGUAUUAUUUUAAACACCUGAGAGACAGCUGUGAUUGUCCCUUUUCUCCAAUGUUGUAUAAUUUGUAGAAAGUUCUCAGAGCUGGGAUUCAAGUGCAAAGUUUCAUUCACUCAUUAAUUCAUAUAGUCAAUAUUUAUUGAAUGUCCACGCUCUGCCAGGCAUCCUGGAAGAUACCAGGGACACAAAAGUGAACACUAGAAACAAGGGUUCUAUUGGGUUCUCAAGGAACCCUUAGUCUAGUAAGGGAGGUAGAUAUUUAUCUAAAUACCCAAAUGGGAUAGUUUUAAAACAUAUCAAAAAAUUUCCAUAAGAGGUAGAGCCUAAUUUCUCUCCCAUUUAGUGUGGGUUGGACUUAAAGACAUAUUUUUAACAAAUAGAGUCAAGCAGCAGUGACAACAUCUGACUUCUAAGUCUAGGUCAUGAAAGACAUUGGAGCUUCCUUCCCACCUGCUGUCUCUUGGAUCACUUGCCCUGGGGUGAGCCAGCUGCCACGGAGAAGCCCACAGAGGAAGAGCGGAACAGUUCUCAAUGGCAAAUGGAAGUUGCAGUGAAGCAGCACCCAGAGCCAGUGUCAGGCUCCCGAGAGAGCGCUGCACCGCUGCAUGUGGUUUCUGGUGCUCUACAUGUUCGGAGAAACUUAUCUGGUAGUGAGCUAUAGAAACAAUCCCUGCAAGCGUCGUCUUUAUAAGGUCAUUUUAAUGACUAUUUUUCUCCUCAGGAAAUAGGCAGUACUGAAGACAGAGAGAUAAAAGGGGCGGUGCUGACACACGUAGAUGACUGGGGCUCUGACAAUGACCGUGAGCUGAUGACCUGAGUCACACAAACUGGAAAACAAAGUUUUUCCCUAAGGAGUUGGACUUUUAAAAACUUUUUAUUGGCUGCUUUUGGAUUAAGGUGUUUAGGACCAGCAUUAUGAGCAGAAGGACUCAGUGUGUAUGAAGAAGAAACCAAGUUUUUCUACAGCAGAAGAGGAGGAAUUUGCCUUUGCAAAAUGUUAUACUGUUUUAUCUGUCGCUGAACGUGUCUGGGCAGUGGCUGUUCUCCCAGGUCUGAGUCCUGAAAAGGGAAAGAGAAAGAGAUUGUAGGACACGGUGAAAUGAUACACGAAACAGCGUUUCCCCAGCUUCUUAUUUGCCUGUACAUUUCUCAUAAAUGGAGUAAAUGCUGAACAAGCUGACUUUCUCCCAUCAUUCCUGUAAAUAAGGAUAUGACUCACAGACCUUGCAAUCUCUAAAAUGCCAUAGCUACUACAGUGAUUUGAUUAUUUAAAAAUAGCUGGGGAAAAAAACAGCAAGAAAUUGGUCCUGGGUAAGUUAGGAUGAAUUCUUUUCUGUUUGUUUUUGUUUAUCAUUUAAAUUGUUAUUGUAUCUCACCCUAAGUAUUCUGACAACAUCUAGUUUGCCAAACAAAUCUUAGGGAUUUAUGAGUUCUGGAAACUAACAAUAUGAACGUGCUGGUCAGAUCUCAGAUCCCAGGCAAAUAAACCCAAAAAACAAAAAACAAAAGACAACAAGACACAAGGUUCACCAUGGAGUCACUGUGAUCUGCGGGCAACUAUGGAUUUGGUUAUAUGAUCUCCUUUUCUAUAAAGUGGAGAGAGAUAAGUGUUGACAUCACUUAAAUACGCUGAGCCCCACCCCCAAAUAACACAAAUGCUGGUAACAACAAUAAUUUAUAUUAAGCCUACUGAACGGCUUUUGUUGAUCUUUAACUAGCCUAUCUAGAAAUGGGAAACGAGUGACCUCUAUUAUUACUCAAGUACUAAAACUCCCCAAGUAGGACUGUUUGUCAAAACUAGGAGUGAGUUUGAGAUUCAGGAUUAAGGUUCAAGUAGGGAAUCUCCAUUUACCCUGCAUCUCAGUCUUACACUGUAUUAUCAGGGUCUUGGGAGGAAAGAGAAGCACACUUAAGAAGGCAUGAUAAAAAGAGAAAGUAAUGAAGGGAUUAUUAUAAAGUUAGAGGAAGAGUUAAGGGAAAUAAGAAGGGUUGAUGAGGUCCUUGGGGUGGCUGCUUCAGGGAAGUCUUCUCUAGGCUUUCAAGGGCAAGCAAAGGACCACUGACAUUCCUCACAAACUUGCACUUUGGUGAGGGAGCCGGGCCACAGCUGACCUAGGGCUUAGCAGAAAAUCUCUCUCUCCUUCUGUCCUUCCAUCCUCUCCUGGUGGCUGCCACUGGCCAAGCCCAACUACAAACGACAGAACAAGGGAGCUUGGUUGCUGGGGUCCAUCAUACAGCCAGUCUUUCAGGGUGCAGAGCAGGGUGAAUGGGUGAAGAGUGGAUCUGCAGGGGAACAUGGAUAGUGUCGGGCACAGACCACUGACAAACGAAAGAGAUGGAAAUGCUUCAGAAAAGAAAGCAGGAUGGCCAGGUCGGUGGUUUUUUUUUUUGUGUGUGUGUG